GAUGAACGCUAGCUACAGGCUUAACACAUGCAAGUCGAGGGGUAACGAGAGGAAAGCUUGCUUUCCAUGUCGACGACCGGCGCACGGGUGAGUAACGCGUAUCCAACCUGCCCCCAACUAGGGAAUAACCACGCGAAAGUAAGACUAAUACCCUAUAAUUUCCUCAGAUGUCAUCUGACGAGGAAUAAAGAUUUAUCGGUCGUGGAUGGUGAUGCGUCUGAUUAGCUUGUUGGCGGGGUAACGGCCCACCAAGGCAACGAUCAGUAGGGGUUCUGAGAGGAAGGUCCCCCACAGUGGAACUGAGACACGGUCCAAACUCCUACGGGAGGCAGCAGUGAGGAAUAUUGGUCAAUGGGCGGAAGCCUGAACCAGCCAAGUAGCGUGCAGGAUGACGGCCCUUUGGGUUGUAAACUGCUUUUAUACAGGAAUAAAGUUAGCCACGUGUGGUUAUUUGUAGGUACUGUAUGAAUAAGGACCGGCUAAUUCCGUGCCAGCCGCCGCGGUAA
RNAcentral lists this ribosomal RNA (506 nucleotides) under uncultured bacterium. RNAcentral's name for it is "partial 16S ribosomal RNA". It matches the Rfam family "Bacterial small subunit ribosomal RNA", at positions 28 to 523 of the family's 1533-position model. The record is from RNAcentral.